GGGCUCAUGGUCUAGCGGUUAUGACGUUGCCCUUACACGGCGAAGACCGCCGGUUCGAAUCCGGCUGAGCCCACCA
RNAcentral lists this transfer RNA (76 nucleotides) under Methanobacteriota archaeon. Its description in RNAcentral is "Euryarchaeota archaeon (anaerobic digester metagenome) tRNA-Val". It matches the Rfam family "tRNA". Rfam says of the family: Transfer RNA (tRNA) molecules are approximately 80 nucleotides in length. Lineage: Archaea; Methanobacteriati; Methanobacteriota. RNAcentral also lists the same sequence under 1 other name. The record is from RNAcentral.